GGUGGAAUGGUCUCAGCGAGCCUCAUGCCUGAAGACGACUGGGACCAUUCCACCUA
RNAcentral lists this microRNA precursor (56 nucleotides) under Heligmosomoides polygyrus. RNAcentral describes it as "microRNA hpo-mir-10113 precursor". Lineage: Eukaryota; Metazoa; Nematoda; Chromadorea; Rhabditida; Heligmosomidae. The record is from miRBase by way of RNAcentral.